GACGAACGCUGGCGGCGUGCUUAACACAUGCAAGUCGAACGGAAAGGCCCUGCUUGCAGGGUACUCGAGUGGCGAACGGGUGAGUAACACGUGGGUGAUCUGCCCUGCACUUCGGGAUAAGCCUGGGAAACUGGGUCUAAUACCGGAUAGGAGCCAUUUUUAGUGUGAUGGUUGGAAAGUUUUUUCGGUGUAGGAUGGGCUCGCGGCCUAUCAGCUUGUUGGUGGGGUAGUGGCCUACCAAGGCGGCGACGGGUAGCCGGCCUGAGAGGGUGGACGGCCACAUUGGGACUGAGAUACGGCCCAGACUCCUACGGGAGGCAGCAGUGGGGAAUAUUGCGCAAUGGGCGCAAGCCUGAUGCAGCGACGCCGCGUGGGGGAUGACGGCCUUCGGGUUGGAAAAGCCUUUCGCUAGGGACGAAGCUUUUUGUGACGGUACCUAGAUAAGAAGCACCGGCUAACUACGUG
Molecule: ribosomal RNA, 465 nt
Filed under: uncultured bacterium
Lineage: Bacteria
Description: partial 16S ribosomal RNA
Rfam family: Bacterial small subunit ribosomal RNA
Source: RNAcentral